ACUGGAGCAGGGGUUCAAGGACUGAGCUGACUGGAAAAUGAGGUUUCCUCUACUUGGAAGAAAUAAAGAUCUAUAAAAAAUGGGGAAAAUAAACUUGGAAUGUGUUCCAUUUGGACAUACUUGAGGUUUACUUCUGCUUUUGGGAAAAAAUUCUACUUAGCCUUUGGCACUCUCCUUUCUUGUCAUCCUCCCAGCUAAACUCCUUGCUGCUGUCUCAUGUUACUGGCAGUAGAAGAAAUGUGCUAGAACCUCCCCUCUCCUGCAUCUUGGCCUCUGCAGCUGUGGCAGAGGAGCAAACAUCCUGUGUUCCUGUGCAAUUAUAACUCUUCCUGGACACUUCUUACUGCUGAAUGUCAA
Long non-coding RNA from Oenanthe melanoleuca, 357 nucleotides. RefSeq lists it as uncharacterized. NCBI's taxonomy places the organism in Eukaryota, Metazoa, Chordata, Aves, Passeriformes, Muscicapidae. The record is from RefSeq and is a predicted model, not a curated record. The transcript has 3 exons.